AUUUAUAUAGUUUAAAAAUAAAACAUUAUAUUUUCAUUAUAAAGAUAAAUUUUAUUUUAUAAAUA
RNAcentral lists this transfer RNA (65 nucleotides) under Cleroidea sp. 1 KM-2017. RNAcentral's name for it is "tRNA-Glu". The record is from RNAcentral. Lineage: Eukaryota; Metazoa; Arthropoda; Insecta; Coleoptera.